This 495-nucleotide ribosomal RNA is filed under the name uncultured bacterium. Its description in RNAcentral is "partial 16S ribosomal RNA". It matches the Rfam family "Bacterial small subunit ribosomal RNA", at positions 28 to 507 of the family's 1533-position model. The record is from RNAcentral.
GACGAACGCUGGCGGCGUGCCUAAUACAUGCAAGUAGAACGCUGAAGGAGGAGCUUGCUUCUCCGGAUGAGUUGCGAACGGGUGAGUAACGCGUAGGUAACCUGCCUGGUAGCGGGGGAUAACUAUUGGAAACGAUAGCUAAUACCGCAUAACAGUAGAUGUUGCAUGACAUUUGCUUAAAAGGUGCAAUUGCAUCACUACCAGAUGGACCCGCGUUGUAUUAGCUAGUUGGUGAGGUAACGGCUCACCAAGGCGACGAUACAUAGCCGACCUGAGAGGGUGAUCGGCCACACUGGGACUGAGACACGGCCCAGACUCCUACGGGAGGCAGCAGUAGGGAAUCUUCGGCAAUUGACGGAAGUCUGACCGAGCAACGCCGCGUGAGUGAAGAAGGUUUUCGGAUCGUAAAGCUCUGUUGUAAGAGAAGAACGAGUGUGAGAGGGGAAAGUUCACACUGUGACGGUAUCUUACCAGAAAGAGACGGCUAACUACGUG